GUAAGAAUCCUUGUACGCCAAUCCUACAUGAUAUACAUAUUUUUGCACUAUAUAUGUUUGAUAUGCUAUGAUCCAGACAAAGCAAAAUAGUUUUAUAUUUAAUUAUAUUUUGAUCGUGUUGGCUUGUGGUUGGUAGUGUGAUGGAUGCCUGUAUGUGUAUAACUUAUACCUGCAUAAUUGAAUUUAUGGAUGUGAUGGUAUGGACUAACCAUGUUAUAGUGAUUGCCCUGUCACGGGCCGGAAACGUGACCAUGGUUAGUCUAGGCCGGAAAUAAAGUGGAAAAGGGAAUGGAUGUGUGUUUGUGAAUUGAUUAAAUGAACAGGGACUUUGGGCUUAUCUCGUUAUUAUUGAUUGCCCCAUCACAGGCUAGAAAUGUGAUAUUAUCGAUUGCCUCGUCACAGGCUGAAAAUGUGAUACUAUCGAUUGCCCCAACACAGGCCGGAAAUGUGAUACUAUUGAUUGCCCCGUCACGGGCCGGAAACGUGACUGGGAUGUAGCCCAAAGUCGG
RNAcentral lists this long non-coding RNA (509 nucleotides) under Phoenix dactylifera (date palm). Its description in RNAcentral is "long non-coding RNA (PDAC_LNC016725)". Lineage: Eukaryota; Viridiplantae; Streptophyta; Magnoliopsida; Arecales; Arecaceae. The record is from RNAcentral.